GCUAGAAUGGCAUAGUGGUUUGAGUGUUGGGAUUAUAACUCUCAAGACCAGGGUUUGAUUCCCAGCUUGGCCA
Phrynosoma platyrhinos (Desert horned lizard) is the source of this 73-nucleotide non-coding RNA. Lineage: Eukaryota; Metazoa; Chordata; Lepidosauria; Squamata; Phrynosomatidae. The record is from the annotation of a GenBank genome assembly.